RNAcentral lists this ribosomal RNA (378 nucleotides) under uncultured bacterium. RNAcentral describes it as "bacterial SSU rRNA". It matches the Rfam family "Bacterial small subunit ribosomal RNA", at positions 28 to 419 of the family's 1533-position model. The record is from RNAcentral.
GACGAACGCUGGCGGUGUGCUUCACACAUGCAAGUCGAACGGGGUAGCAAUACCCAGUGGCGGACGGGUGAGUAACGCGUAGGAAUCUGCCUUGAGAUGGGGGAUAACAGUCCGAAAGGACUGCUAAUACCGCAUAUGUAUGUAUCUCGACAGAGGUGUAUAUGAAAGGAGUAAUCCGUCUUAAGAUGAGCCUGCGUCCGAUUAGCUAGUUGGUAGGUAAAAGCCACCAAGGCGACGAUCGGUAGCUGGUCUGAGAGGAUGAUCAGCCACAAUGGGACUGAGACACGGCCCAUACUCCUACGGGAGGCAGCAGUGGGGAAUUUUGUGCAAUGGGCGAAAGCCUGACACAGCGACACCGCGUGAGCGAAGAAGCCCUUU